UACGUAGGUGGCAAGCGUUGUCCGGAUUUACUGGGCGUAAAGAGCGCGCAGGCGGUCGGCCAAGUCGAGUGUGAAAGCCCCCGGCUCAACUGGGGAGGGUCAUUCGAUACUGCUCGGCUCGAAGACAGGAGAGGGAAGCGGAAUUCCCGGUGUAGUGGUGAAAUGCGUAGAUAUCGGGAGGAACACCAGUGGCGAAGGCGGCUUUCUGGCCUGUUCUUGACGCUGAGGCGCGAAAGCUAGGGGAGCAAACGGG
Molecule: ribosomal RNA, 253 nt
Filed under: uncultured bacterium
Lineage: Bacteria
Description: partial 16S ribosomal RNA
Rfam family: Bacterial small subunit ribosomal RNA
Source: RNAcentral